UCCAGACUCCUACGGGAGGCAGCAGUGAGGAAUAUUGGUCAAUGGGCUUACGCCUGAACCAGCCAAGUCGCGUGAGGGAGUACUGCCCUAUGGGUUGUAAACCUCUUUUGUCGGGGAGCAAAAGCCGGACGUGUCCGGCUGUGAGAGUACCCGAAGAAAAAGCAUCGGCUAACUCCGUGCCAGCAGCCGCGGUAAUACGGAGGAUGCGAGCGUUAUCCGGAUUUAUUGGGUUUAAAGGGUGCGCAGGCGGCUUUUUAGGUCGGCGGUCAAGUCGUGGGGCCCACCCCCUCCCCGCCGUUGAAACUGGGGAUCUAGAGUGUGCGAGAGGUAUGCGGAAUGCGUGGUGUAGCGGUGAAAUGCAUAGAUAUCACGCAGAACCCCGAUUGCGAAGGCAGCAUACCGGUGCACAACUGACGCUCAGGCACGAAAGCGUGGGUAUCGAACAGGAUUAGAUACCCUAGUAC
This 464-nucleotide ribosomal RNA is filed under the name uncultured bacterium. RNAcentral describes it as "bacterial SSU rRNA". It matches the Rfam family "Bacterial small subunit ribosomal RNA", at positions 330 to 793 of the family's 1533-position model. The record is from RNAcentral.